RNAcentral lists this ribosomal RNA (253 nucleotides) under uncultured bacterium. Its description in RNAcentral is "partial 16S ribosomal RNA". It matches the Rfam family "Bacterial small subunit ribosomal RNA", at positions 524 to 776 of the family's 1533-position model. The record is from RNAcentral.
UACGUAGGGUGCAAGCGUUGUCCGGAAUUAUUGGGCGUAAAGAGCUCGUAGGCGGUUUGUUGCGUCGGCUGUGAAAUCCCGAGGCUCAACCUCGGGUCUGCAGUCGAUACGAGCAAACUAGAGUGUUGCAGGGGAGACUGGAAUUCCUGGUGUAGCGGUGAAAUGCGCAGAUAUCAGGAGGAACACCGGUGGCGAAGGCGGGUCUCUGGGCUGACACUGACGCUCAUGCACGAAAGCGUGGGGAGCAAACAGG